This 682-nucleotide long non-coding RNA is filed under the name Homo sapiens (human). RNAcentral's name for it is "non-protein coding lnc-POTEB-5:4". Lineage: Eukaryota; Metazoa; Chordata; Mammalia; Primates; Hominidae. The record is from RNAcentral.
GGAAACCGAAACAAUGUCAUUUCCCCCCAGAAGUCGGCGUGGCUCAGCUCAGUCCAGUUCACAACAAAUAUGAAAUCCCUGCCCUACAGGACCAGGCCUCAGGAAGGGCUUGGGGGCCUCAGAGGCAAAUGAGACCAGGUCCAUCAACCAUACAGAACUGACAACCUGGACUCCCCACUCUGAAGUAGGCAGACUGCCUGAGGGAGGGGGCCUCCCUCAUGGGGAGAGGGCAGGCGCUGACCUCCCGGGCCCUCCAGCAUUCUCUGGGUCCUGGCCCCGAGAUUCUGGUUUUCCACACAGGGCACCUACUGUCUCACCCUUCCCUGACUCUGCCCGUGCACAAGGUGACCCCGGCUGCAAGCGUGCCAGGAGCUUUUCUCCACCUCUGCCUCAACAUCUGCCGCCUCUCCUCCUCUGGAGAGGGAGGCAGCUGAAGGACACCAGCCCCACGCCUUGCUGGAGCAGCUGAGAUCGCUGGGAGGAGACCUAGGACCCUACGAGAGGAGGGAUCUGGAGGCCAGGACAGGAGCAGGACAACACAAACAGAGGCCUCAGAAGAAGACUCAGAGUGGGACAGGGGUUCCUUAAGUGACGGGGGCUGGAAGUGCACAGAGAAGCCUGGUGCAGCAGGGAAUUUUCUCUCCCUGGGGUGCUGCCAAGGUAUGUGUGGUCUCCAGCUGCG